UGCAGAAUCCCGUGAACCAUCGAAUCUUUGAACGCAAGUUGCGCCCGAGGCCACUAGGUCGAGGGCACGCCUGCCUGGGCGUCACGC
This 87-nucleotide ribosomal RNA is filed under the name Arum italicum. RNAcentral's name for it is "partial 5.8S ribosomal RNA". It matches the Rfam family "5.8S ribosomal RNA", at positions 73 to 154 of the family's 154-position model. From Rfam's summary of the family: 5.8S ribosomal RNA (5.8S rRNA) is a component of the large subunit of the eukaryotic ribosome. It is transcribed by RNA polymerase I as part of the 45S precursor that also contains 18S and 28S rRNA. Lineage: Eukaryota; Viridiplantae; Streptophyta; Magnoliopsida; Alismatales; Araceae. The record is from RNAcentral.